GACGAACGCUGGCGGCGUGCUUAACACAUGCAAGUCGAACGGAAAGGCCCUGCUUUUGUGGGGUACUCGAGUGGCGAACGGGUGAGUAACACGUGAGUAACCUGCCCUUGACUUUGGGAUAACUUCAGGAAACUGGGGCUAAUACCGGAUAGGAGCUCCUGCUGCAUGGUGGGGGUUGGAAAGUUUCGGCGGUUGGGGAUGGACUCGCGGCUUAUCAGCUUGUUGGUGGGGUAGUGGCUUACCAAGGCUUUGACGGGUAGCCGGCCUGAGAGGGUGACCGGCCACAUUGGGACUGAGAUACGGCCCAGACUCCUACGGGAGGCAGCAGUGGGGAAUAUUGCACAAUGGGUGGAAGCCUGAUGCAGCAACGCCGUGUGCGGGAUGACGGCCUUCGGGUUGUAAACCGCUUUCGCUCAUGACGAAGCUUUGUGUGACGGUAGUGGGUAAAGAAGCACCGGCUAACUACGU
Molecule: ribosomal RNA, 468 nt
Filed under: uncultured bacterium
Lineage: Bacteria
Description: partial 16S ribosomal RNA
Rfam family: Bacterial small subunit ribosomal RNA
Source: RNAcentral